CUCCCUGGCAAGACUGGGCAUGCUCCAAGUGCUCUAGUAGUAUAAAAGGAGGGAGACCAGCUCAUUCUGGGUGGGAGGCUGCAGGAGAAGGACUUGCCAGCCACAGCCUCUGACUGCACCGGGAAUUGAAGCCGUCCAUGGCCCGCCUGCACCCCGGCGACUAGAGGAAACCCUGGAGACGACUGGCCCUGUUGAACACAGAGGACACCGCGGACCCGAGAUCUCAUGGAAAACCCCAAGACUCUGCCUCUCUUCAGAACCUUUAAAACUCCUUUCUGUGGAAAAACAGGCCUCCCUGUCAAGGCAUGCCGAGUGGUGAUGUUCUCAUGAUGGGCUCUGACUACAAAGCACAAUCAAGCCCCCAGAAAAUGAUUUACACUCCAUCAAAUAAGUUAACGGCUGCAAAGGAAUAGACUACAUGACCAUCAAAACUUGACAGCUUUGUGCUUACUAAACUAAAAUUAUGCCAAAUUUUCUGCAAUAUCAAAUAAGCACCCUAUGGCAUUUUUAAAAAAAUAAUCUUUCUGCUUGCACAUUGAAAAGUCUACUGAAUCAAAAUAAGGCUACCUCCUAAAUAAAGAUGGAAUGCAUGGAUGAUAAAAACAUCAGUUUUUAAAAAGAGGCAGAGGUCUGACGCAUGUUUCACUCUUUAAAUCUUCAAAAAUCCCUGAAGACUCAGUCCACCAAAAAAGCCUGACAUGAAACUAACAACAUGAACAAGAAACAAGAUGUGUGUGGUGCUUUCAGGGGAAACUGAAUUCAUCAGGGACUUGACACAGAUGAAAAUUAUGAUUAUCAAAUAAACAUGAGAAAAAAGUAGGAGAUUGCAAUAGACUAAAUAGCUAGGAUGCAUAAAGAAAAGUAUCUCUAGAAUGUCAAUUAACAUAAACAUUUUUGCAUGAUUAACUGAAAAUCAGUCUGUGGGACACUGGAUGACUCAAGGGACUGUCCGGUGGACAUGGUGCUUUUUGACCUUCUGUAUCACCAGCUCAGA
Molecule: long non-coding RNA, 994 nt
Organism: Mauremys mutica (yellowpond turtle)
Lineage: Eukaryota; Metazoa; Chordata; Testudines; Geoemydidae
Exons: 4
Source: RefSeq, a predicted model, not a curated record